This is a long non-coding RNA of Gorilla gorilla gorilla (western lowland gorilla), 514 nucleotides long. RefSeq lists it as uncharacterized. Lineage: Eukaryota; Metazoa; Chordata; Mammalia; Primates; Hominidae. The record is from RefSeq and is a predicted model, not a curated record. The transcript has 3 exons.
CAGCCAAGCCAGCCAGCCAGCCAGCCAGCGAAGCCAGCCAAGCCAGCCAGCCAGCCAAGACAGCCAAGCCACCGAGCUGGCAAAGCCAGCCAAGCCACACAGCCAGCCAAGCCAGGCUAGCCACCCUGCCACACAAGCCAGCCAAGCCUCCCAGCCAGUCAAGCCAGCCAAGCCACCCAGCCAGCAAAGCCAGCAAAGCCAGCCAGCAAGCCAAGAGAGCCAAGCCAGCCAAGCUGGCCAGCCAGCGAAGCCAGCCAAGCCAGCAAGCCAGCCAAGCCAGCCAAGACAGCCAGCCAAGCCAAGUGAUUUGGUGUUCCCUCCCACGCCUCCAAUAGUCUCCACUAUUAUCAUUGUCUUCUAGAUCUUCUGCGAUGCCCUGGAGAUUAAGGAUUUGAUUCCAUGACAGAGAGGAGGUACAUUUCGAUGGAACUUUGGUGUCCAGUGUGAGGUUCACCUGGUGCAGUCUGGGGGAGGCUUGGUACAGCCUGGGGGGUCCCUGAGACUCUCCUGUGCA